This 239-nucleotide long non-coding RNA is filed under the name Mytilus galloprovincialis (Mediterranean mussel). The record is from RNAcentral. Lineage: Eukaryota; Metazoa; Mollusca; Bivalvia; Mytilida; Mytilidae.
GAUAAACUUUAAACAGCAAUAAUGUACAGGAAAGUAAGAUUUACAAAUAAGUCAACAUGACUGAAAUGGUCAAUUGACCCCCUAAGGAGUUAUUGUCCUUUAUAGUCAAUUUUUAACAAUUUUUAUAAAAUUUGUAAAUUUUUACUAACAUUUUCCACUGAAACUACUGGCCCAAGUUCAUUAUAGAUAGAGAUAACUGUAAGCAGCAAGAAUGUUCAGUAAAGUAAGACGUACAAACA